This 1411-nucleotide ribosomal RNA is filed under the name Acinetobacter baumannii. RNAcentral's name for it is "partial 23S ribosomal RNA". It matches the Rfam family "Bacterial large subunit ribosomal RNA", at positions 667 to 2062 of the family's 2925-position model. Lineage: Bacteria; Pseudomonadati; Pseudomonadota; Gammaproteobacteria; Moraxellales; Moraxellaceae. The record is from RNAcentral.
CGUAGAGAAAUCGAGUCUUAAUAGGGCGUUUAGUUGCUGGGUAUAGACCCGAAACCAGGCGAUCUAUCCAUGAGCAGGUUGAAGGUUGGGUAACACUAACUGGAGGACCGAACCCACUGUCGUUGAAAAGCCAGGGGAUGACUUGUGGAUAGGGGUGAAAGGCUAAUCAAGCCUGGUGAUAGCUGGUUCUCCCCGAAAGCUAUUUAGGUAGCGCCUCGGACGAAUACCAUAGGGGGUAGAGCACUGUUUCGGCUAGGGGGUCAUCCCGACUUACCAAACCGAUGCAAACUCCGAAUACCUAUGAGUACUAUCCGGGAGACAGACUGCGGGUGCUAACGUCCGUAGUCAAGAGGAAAACAAUCCAGACCGCCAGCUAAGGCCCCAAAAUCAUAGUUAAGUGGGAAACGAUGUGGGAAGGCAUAGACAGCUAGGAGGUUGGCUUAGAAGCAGCCACCCUUUAAAGAAAGCGUAAUAGCUCACUAGUCGAGUCGGCCUGCGCGGAAGAUGUAACGGGGCUAAAACUAUGUGCCGAAGCUGCGGAUGUAUACUUUGUAUACGUGGUAGGGGAGCGUUCUGUAAGCCGAUGAAGGUGUGUUGAGAAGCAUGCUGGAGGUAUCAGAAGUGCGAAUGCUGACGUGAGUAACGACAAAACGGGUGAAAAACCCGUUCGCCGAAAGACCAAGGGUUCCAGUCCAACGUUAAUCGGGGCUGGGUGAGUCGACCCCUAAGGCGAGGCCGAAAGGCGUAGUCGAUGGGAAAAUGGUUAAUAUUCCAUUACUUCUGUGUAAUGCGAUGAGAGGACGGAGAAGGCUAAAUCAGCCUGGCGUUGGUUGUCCAGGUGAAAGGAUGUAGGCAUGUAUCUUAGGCAAAUCCGGGGUACUCUAUGCUGAGAUCUGAUAGCAAGCUGUACUUGUACAGCGAAGUGGUUGAUGCCAUGCUUCCAGGAAAAGUCUCUAAGCUUCAGUUACACAGGAAUCGUACCCGAAACCGACACAGGUGGUCAGGUCGAGUAGACCAAGGCGCUUGAGAGAACUCUGCUGAAGGAACUAGGCAAAAUGGUACCGUAACUUCGGGAGAAGGUACGCUGUUGUUGGUGAUGGAACUCGCUUCCUGAGCUGACGACAGCCGCAGAAACCAGGCCGCUGCAACUGUUUAUUAAAAACAUAGCACUCUGCAAACACGAAAGUGGACGUAUAGGGUGUGAUGCCUGCCCGGUGCUGGAAGGUUAAUUGAUGGGGUUAGCGUAAGCGAAGCUCUUGAUCGAAGCCCCAGUAAACGGCGGCCGUAACUAUAACGGUCCUAAGGUAGCGAAAUUCCUUGUCGGGUAAGUUCCGACCUGCACGAAUGGCAUAAUGAUGGCGGCGCUGUCUCCAGCAGAGGCUCAGUGAAAUCGAAAUCGCUGUGAAGAUGC